UUAUAAGAGACAGCAGCCGCCACGGUAAAACAGAGGGUGCGAGCGUUAAUCGGAUUUACUGGGCGUAAAGCGUGCGUAGGCGGCUUUUUAAGUCGGAUGUGAAAUCCCUGAGCUUAACUUAGGAAUUGCAUUCGAUACUGGGAAGCUAGAGUAUGGGAGAGGAUGGUAGAAUUCCAGGUGUAGCGGUGAAAUGCGUAGAGAUCUGGAGGAAUACCGAUGGCGAAGGCAGCCAUCUGGCCUAAUACUGACGCUGAGGUACGAAAGCAUGGGGAGCAAACAGGAUUAGAUACCCGAGUAGUCCCUGUCUCUUAUAC
Molecule: ribosomal RNA, 314 nt
Filed under: uncultured bacterium
Lineage: Bacteria
Description: partial 16S ribosomal RNA
Rfam family: Bacterial small subunit ribosomal RNA
Source: RNAcentral